This is a long non-coding RNA of Lathyrus oleraceus (garden pea), 1421 nucleotides long. RefSeq lists it as uncharacterized. The record is from RefSeq and is a predicted model, not a curated record. NCBI's taxonomy places the organism in Eukaryota, Viridiplantae, Streptophyta, Magnoliopsida, Fabales, Fabaceae. The transcript has 2 exons.
UGUUGUUUGGUGAUGAUGUGAGCCCAAGACCCAGGCCCAAGCUUGCUGAAUCCAAGAGUGAAAAAACAAAUUCCCAGCAUUGCGGUGUGUGGAGAGAAAAUAAUGGGCCCACGUGUGUAACGGCCCAAUGAAACCGGUUUAGUCGAAGCCUAGCUCUAGCGGCCCAAAUGACUCAAAUUUCCUUGUGCUUACCCAAAGAAAUUCCCAAGAUGCAGCCUAAAACACGAAGCUUGUGGGGAAAAAAUGGAAAACGUUUCACCCGUCGAAAACACUUCUGCAAGCUCUAAACCUGAUCGUAAUCUUUAUCCAAUUCGGCUCGUGUCUCGAUAUCAUCAUCGCCGCAAUUUUGAAAUGGGAGUGCGUCCAUGGACUUGGCUUCUCCGUGUUAUCGUAAGAGAUCGCUUUCAUCGGUAGCAUCGCGCUUCAGACAGCGUCGCGCAUCUCCGGCGCCGUGUCUACGUUUCAACUCAGCCUCCAUACGCGGUGGAUCGUUCAUCGACGAAUGAUAAUGCUCACGACUUUGCGCUUAGCCCCACCGUAUGGUUGGAUUCUCAACUCAAAUCAGUUUACGUGUGCCGAUACGGCGAACUACGAAUCCAAGAGAAUGAAGGAAAACUCACCAGAUUAUUUCCGAUUUGAACCUGUACAUACUCCUAUUCUCUGAUUCAGAUCCGUUCUGUCUUCUCUUCUACGACAAAUUCGAGUCCUACGCGUGGAGUUCCAAUUUGGAAGCUGAACACUAAUCCUUGUGAAUGCCGCAUCCAAGAUGUAGACUCUGUCGCGAGCGAGAGUGGGGAAUUCAAAAGGUGCGGAUUGAACGUCUUUGACGACGAAGAUUUUGCAGGAGGGGUGGAAAACCAGUUGCAGAGUUGAAGAAAUAUGAUGCAGAACCAAGGGAUUUUGCAGAAAAUCGAGGGAGCAGGUUCAAGAAGGUUUGAUGCAGAAGGAGCAGUUAUGUUGUAAAAACGGGGAAUAUUGAUGGUGAAGAUGAAGAAGAUGAAGAAUGAAAGAAAAUUUGGAGGAGCUUCUCAUGGCAUUGUUAUAUAUAUGGUAGUUUUCAACCGAAUCGGGCAACGGUUCGGGCAGGUUAGUUAUGUUAGGGCAGGGUUAGUUAGCUCUUUCAUAGUUGGUUGAAGUUAUGGUUAAGUUAGUUGUAAACAGGGUUAGGGUUAAUUGUUACAAGUUAGCUUAAUUGGUUAGAAUUUUUGUUAGAAAUUCAGUUGGAAAUUCUAUUUGCAGAUUUUUCCAAUUAGUUUAGUUUGUGAUUCUCUGUGGUGCAUUCUGUUAAUUACCGUGGUCUUAAAACCAAUUGCAGGUACUUAGCAGUAUCAAUGAUAGUUAUGAGGUAUUUUCAACUCUGUUCGUUCUGAAUCACAGGGUUGGUCAUUAAAAAUAUUAGCUAUGGUUUUUGUUAAUCGGAA